RNAcentral lists this non-coding RNA (21 nucleotides) under Arabidopsis thaliana (thale cress). Lineage: Eukaryota; Viridiplantae; Streptophyta; Magnoliopsida; Brassicales; Brassicaceae. The record is from RNAcentral.
AUGGAGAACAAAUAUGGGAAG